AUCUCUAUGGGUCUCUAUGGGUCUCUAUGGGUCUCUAUGGGUCUCUAUGGGUCUCUAUGGGUCCCUAUGGGUCUCUAUGGGUCUCUAUGGGUCUCUAUGGGUCCCUAUGGGUCUCUUUGGGUCUCUAUGGGACACUAUGGGGCAGUUAUGGGUCCCUAUGGGUCUCUAUGGGUCUCUAUGGGUCCCUAAGGCUCUCUAUGGGUCCCUAUGGGUCUCUAUGGGUCCCUAUGGGGCAGCUAUGGGGCUCUAUGGGUCACUAUGGGUCUCUAUGGGGCACUAUGGGUACCUAUGGGGCAGCUUAUGGGGCACUAUGGGUCUCUAUGUGUCCCUUUGGAUGACUAUGGGUCUCUAUGGGUCACUAUGGGGCAGCUAUGGGUCUCUAUGGGUCUCUACAGGGCAGCUAUGGGGCAGCAAUGGGUCUCUAUGGGGCUCUAUUGGGCUCUAUGGGUCCCUAUGGGUCUCUGUGGGUCAAUAUGGGGCAGCUAUGGGUCUCUAUGGGGCAGAUAUGGGGCUCUAUGGGGCUCUAUUGGGCUCUGUGUGUCCCUAUGGGUCCCUAUGGGUCUCUAUGGGUCACUAUUGGGCUCUAUGGGGCUAUAUGGGUCCCUAUGGGGCAGCUAUGGGGCUCUGUGGGUCCCUAUGGGUCUCUGUGGGUCGCUAUGGGGCAGCUAUGAGUCACUAUGAGGCAGCUAUGGGUCUCUAUGAGUCUCUAUGGGGCUCUAUGGGUCCCUAUGGGUCUCUCUGGGUCUCUACAGGGCAGCUAUGGGGCAGAUAUGGGGCAGCUAUGGGGCUCUAUGGGGCAGCUAUGGGUCACUAUGGGUCCCUAUGGGGUCCCUAUGGGGCAGCUAUGGGGCUCUAUGGGUCCCUUUGGAUGACUAUGGGUCUCUAUGGGUCACUAUGGGGCAGAUAUGGGUCUCUAUGGGUCUCUAUGGCUCUCUUUGGGUCUCUGUGGGUCACUAUGGGGCACCUAUGGAUCCCUAUGGGUCACUAUGGGGCACCUACGGGGCUCUAUGUGUCCCUAUGGGUCUCUAUGGGUCUCUAUGGGUCACUAUGGGGCAGCUAUGGGUCUCUAUGGAUCCUUUUGGAUGACAAUGGGUCUCUAUGGGUCACUAUGGGUCCCUAUGGGUCACUAUGGGUCCCUAUGGGUCUCUAUGGGUCUCUAUGGGUCCCUAUGGGUCUCUAUGGGGCAGCUAUGGGUCUCUAUGGGGCAGCUAUGGGGUAGCUAUGGCUGCUCACACUCAUGGACCCACUGCUGCCCCUCGGCGUGCUGCUCAAGUGUCUCAGUGCUUACACAGGUGGGGCGCUAUGGGGCAGAGAUGGGGCUAUAUGGGGUAGUUAUGGGGCACUAUGGGGCUCUAUGGGGCUCUAUGGGGUAGUUAUGGGUCUCUAUGGGUCCCUAUGGGGCUCUAUGGGUCUCUGUGGGUCACUAUGGGGCAGCUAUGGCUCUCUAUGGGUCACUACAGGGCAGCUAUGGGGUCGCUAUGGGGCUCUAUGUGUCUCUAUAGGUUUCUAUGGGUCCCUAUGGGUCUCUAUGGGUCCCUAUGGGUCUCUACAGGGCAACUAUGGGGCAUCAAUGGGUCCCUAUGGGUUGCUAUGGGUCACUAUGGGGUAUCAAUGGGUCUCUAUGGGUCACUGUGGGGCAGCUAUGGGUCUCUAUGGGGUAGCUAUGGGUCUCUAUGGGUCUCUAUGGGUCUCUAUGGGGAGCUAUGGGUCACCGUCACGGCUGCUCACACUCAUGGACCCACUGCUGCCCCUCGGCGUGCUGCUCAAGUGUCUGAGCGCGUACACAGGUGGGUAUGGGGCAGAUAUGGGGUGAUAUGGGGCGCUAUGGGGUAGUUAUGGGGCUAUAUGGGGUAGUUAUGGGGCUCUAUGGGUCCCUAUGGGGCUCUAUGGGGCACCUAUGGGUCUCUAUGGGGUAGAUAUGGGUCUCUAUGAGUCCCUAUGGGUCCCUAUAGGGCAUCUAUGGGGCUCUAUGGGGCUCUAUGGGUCCCUAUAGGCCCCUAUGGGUCCCUAUGGGGUCGCUAUGGGGCAGCUAUGGGACUCUAUGGGGCAGCUAUGGGGCUCUAUGGGGUCUCUAUGGGACACUAUGGGGCAGAUAUGGGUCCCUAUGGGUCGCUAUGGGGCAGCUAUGGGGCUCUAUGGGUCUCUAUGGGUCCCUAUGGGUCACUAUGGGGCUCUAUGGGACACUAUGGGUACCUAUGGGGUAGCUUAUGGGUCCCUGU
This 2219-nucleotide long non-coding RNA is filed under the name Coturnix japonica (Japanese quail). Its description in RNAcentral is "lncRNA (ENSCJPG00005001930.1)". Lineage: Eukaryota; Metazoa; Chordata; Aves; Galliformes; Phasianidae. The record is from RNAcentral.